Molecule: ribosomal RNA, 492 nt
Filed under: uncultured bacterium
Lineage: Bacteria
Description: partial 16S ribosomal RNA
Rfam family: Bacterial small subunit ribosomal RNA
Source: RNAcentral
AAUGAACGCUGGCGGCAUGCCUAACACAUGCAAGUCGAACGGCAGCACAGUAAGAGCUUGCUCUUGCGGGUGGCGAGUGGCGGACGGGUGAGGAAUGCAUCGGAAACCUCUUUUUCGGGGGUGAUAACGGAGGGAAACUUAUGCUAAUACAGCAUACGUCCUACGGGUUAGAGCAGGGGUUCUUCGGGCCUUUCGCGACUGUAAGAGCCGAUGUCGGCUUAGAUUGUUUGCUGGGUAAAGGCCCAGCUAGGCAACGAUCCGUAGCAGGUCUGACGGGGAGAUCAGCCAACCUGGAACUGAGACAGGGUCCCGACUCCUAAGGGAGGCCGCAGUAGGGAAUCUUCCGCAAUGGGCGAAAGGCUGAUACAGCAAAACCGGGGGAGUGAUGAAGGACCUCGGAUUGGAAAGCCCUGUUGGUCGGAAAGAAAAAAAGCUCGUUUAACCGCGCACAUUUUGACGGUACCUAAAGAAUAAGCCACGGCUAACUUCGUG